UUUUCUAUCUUCUUCUCUCCUCUUCCUCUCAUCUCCUCUUACCUCUCCCCACUCUUCAAUUCCACAUUGUUCCUACAGUGUAACGGAUACAGUGAAGUAAAAUGCAGGCAGGCAAGGCCCCAUCAAAGAAAAUGUUUUUAAAAAGCCAAGCCAAGUCUGAAUGUGCCCAGAGACAUGGCAUGUGUGCAACCUGUGUGUGGUUGGUGUGAGCCUCUCUCUCUCUCUCUCUCCUCUCUCUCUCCUCUCUCUCUCUGUUCUCUUAGCUUCUCUUAGCAGUUCUCUAUGCUUCUCUCAGCUGUUCUCUAUGCUUCUCUCAGCUGUUCUCUAUGUUUCUCUAAGCUGUUCUCUGUGCUUCUCUAAGCUGUUCUCUAUGUUUCUCUCAGCUGUUCUCUAUGUUUCUCUAAGCUGUUCUCUGUGCUUCUCUAAGCUGUUCUCUAUGUUUCUCUCAGCUGUUCUCUAUGUUUCUCUAAGCUGUUCUCUAUGUUUCUCUAAGCUGUUCUCUAUGUUUCUCACAGCUGUUCUCUAUGCUUCUCUUAGCUGUUCUCUAUGCUUCUCUAAGCUGUUCUCUAUGUUUCUCUCAGCUGUUCUCUAGGUUUCUCUUUGCUGUUCUCUGUGCUUCUCUUAGCGGUUCUCUUCUCCAAGCUGUUCUCUGUGCUUCUCUUAGCAGUUCUCUUCUCUAAGCUCUUCUCUACACUUCUCUAAGCUGUUCUCUGUGUUUCUCUCAGCUGUUCUCUAUGCUUCUCUAAGCUGUUCUCUAUGCUUCUCUUAGCAGUUCUCUUCUCUAAGCUGUUCUCUGUGCUUCUCUUAG
Long non-coding RNA from Oncorhynchus tshawytscha (Chinook salmon), 808 nucleotides. Lineage: Eukaryota; Metazoa; Chordata; Actinopteri; Salmoniformes; Salmonidae. The record is from Ensembl.